AGAUGCAGGGGGCCGACCCACCUCAAUAUUAUGCCGACAAGUAAAGGAAUCUUGACUUCGUGAAAGGCUGUGAGUUGUGACGACUGCUGUUCCGAGACCACUGAAUGAAAUCUGGAAUAUUCCCAAUGUGUGCCACUUCCAUACAAAAAAGUUCCAGUCCCGCAAGAGUCAUGACCGUCCUCACUCACCAGUUAUGACUGUAGUGAGCUCCAUCAACAGUCCAGGGUAAAGUCGGUCUGUCUUGUUACUACAUGCUACUUGACUGUCUGGAGCCAUGGAUGCUGACCUCAACAUGCUAAAUUACAUUGAUGGUGAUGGUGACAAGACCUUCAUAAGGU
Molecule: long non-coding RNA, 338 nt
Organism: Sardina pilchardus (European sardine)
Lineage: Eukaryota; Metazoa; Chordata; Actinopteri; Clupeiformes; Clupeidae
Exons: 4
Source: RefSeq, a predicted model, not a curated record